Molecule: ribosomal RNA, 327 nt
Filed under: uncultured bacterium
Lineage: Bacteria
Description: bacterial SSU rRNA
Rfam family: Bacterial small subunit ribosomal RNA
Source: RNAcentral
CCGGAGGAAGGUGGGGAUGACGUCAAGUCAUCAUGGCCCUUACGGCCAGGGCUACACACGUGCUACAAUGGCGCGUACAGAGGGCUGCAAGCUAGCGAUAGUGAGCGAAUCCCAAAAAGCGCGUCGUAGUCCGGAUCGGAGUCUGCAACUCGACUCCGUGAAGUCGGAAUCGCUAGUAAUCGCAAAUCAGAAUGUUGCGGUGAAUACGUUCCCGGGCCUUGUACACACCGCCCGUCACACCAUGGGAGUGGGUUGCACCAGAAGUAGAUAGCUUAACCUUCGGGAGGGCGUUUACCACGGUGUGAUUCAUGACUGGGGUGAAGUCGU